UAGAAUCUAUCCAUCUCGCUCAGGGCGCGCGGCGGGUGCCGGCCGUAAAACGUGCCUGGGGCGGUUUCCGACCGCCGCAGCACACACACCAAGGUUGACCUCGGAUCAGGUAGGAAUACCCGCUGAACUUAAGCAUAUCAAUAAGCGGAGGAAAAGAAACCAACAGGGAUUGCCCCAGUAACGGCGAGUGAAGCGGCAACAGCUCAAAUUUGAAAUCUGGCCUCGCGCCCGAGUUGUAAUUUGUAGAGGAAGCUUUUGGUGCGGUACCUGCUGAGUCCCCUGGAACGGGGCGCCAUAGAGGGUGAGAGCCCCGUAUAGCAGGCUGCCUAUCCUGUGUAAAGCUCCUUCGACGAGUCGAGUAGUUUGGGAAUGCUGCUCUAAAUGGGAGGUAAAUUCCUUCUAAAGCUAAAUACCGGCCAGAGACCGAUAGCGCACAAGUAGAGUGAUCGAAAGAUGAAAAGCACUUUGAAAAGAGGGUUAAAUAGCACGUGAAAUUGUUGAAAGGGAAGCGCUUGUGACCAGACUUGCGCCGGGCGGAUCAUCCGGUGUUCUCACCGGUGCACUCCGCCCGGCUCAGGCCAGCAUCGGUUCUCGCGGGGGGAUAAAGGCCCAGGGAACGUGGCUCCUCUGGGAGUGUUAUAGCCCUGGGCGCAAUGCCCUCGCGGGGACCGAGGUUCGCGCAUCUGCAAGGAUGCUGGCGUAAUGGUCAUCAGCGACCCGUCUUGAAACACGGACCAAGGAGUCAAGGUUUUGCGCGAGUGUUUGGGUGUAAAACCCGCACGCGUAAUGAAAGUGAACGUAGGUGAGAGCUUCGGCGCAUCAUCGACCGAUCCUGAUGUACUCGGAUGGAUUUGAGUAAGAGCGUUAAGCCUUGGACCCGAAAGAUGGUGAACUAUGCUUGGAUAGGGUGAAGCCAGAGGAAACUCUGGUGGAGGCUCGCAGCGGUUCCUGACGUGCAAAUCGAUCGUCAAAUCUGAGCAUGGGGGCGAAAGACUAAUCGAACCAUCUAGUAGCUGGUUACCGCCGA
This 1027-nucleotide ribosomal RNA is filed under the name Strattonia oblecythiformis. Its description in RNAcentral is "eukaryotic LSU rRNA". It matches the Rfam family "Eukaryotic large subunit ribosomal RNA", at positions 1 to 964 of the family's 3401-position model. The record is from RNAcentral. Lineage: Eukaryota; Fungi; Ascomycota; Sordariomycetes; Sordariales; Lasiosphaeriaceae.